Molecule: transfer RNA, 79 nt
Filed under: Megalops atlanticus (tarpon)
Lineage: Eukaryota; Metazoa; Chordata; Actinopteri; Elopiformes; Megalopidae
Description: tRNA-OTHER
Source: RNAcentral
AGCAGUGUGGCGUAGUGGUUAAGGAGCAGGGCUUGUAACCGAGAGGUUGCUGGUUCAAUUCUUCACUGGGGCACUGCUG